Molecule: ribosomal RNA, 439 nt
Filed under: uncultured bacterium
Lineage: Bacteria
Description: partial 16S ribosomal RNA
Rfam family: Bacterial small subunit ribosomal RNA
Source: RNAcentral
CCUACGGGUGGCAGCAGUGAGGAAUAUUGCACAAUGGGCGAAAGCCUGAUGCAGCAACGCCGCGUGAGCGAUGAAGGCCUUCGGGUUGUAAAGCUCUGUCCUCAAGGAAGAUAAUGACGGUACUUGUGGAGGAAGCCCCGGCUAACUACGUGCCAGCAGCCGCGGUAAUCCGUAGGGGGCGAGCGUUAUCCGGAAUUACUGGGCGUAAAGGGGGCGUAGGUGGUUUCUUAAGUCAGAGGUGAAAGGGUACGGCUCAACCGUAGUAAGCCUUUGAAACUGGGGAACUUGAGUGCAGGAGAGGAGAGUGGAAUUCCUGGUGUAGCGGUGAAAUGCGUAGAUAUUAGGAGGAACACCAGUUGCGAAGGCGGCUCUCUGGACUGUAACUGACACUGAGGCACGAAAGCGUGGGGAGCAAACAGGAUUAGAUACCCUGGUAGUC